This 296-nucleotide small nuclear RNA is filed under the name Meriones unguiculatus (Mongolian gerbil). RNAcentral's name for it is "7SK RNA (ENSMUGG00000001974.1)". The stretch from base 1 to 263 matches the Rfam family "7SK RNA". From Rfam's summary of the family: 7SK was discovered as an abundant small nuclear RNA in the mid-70s but a possible function has only recently been suggested. Two independent studies have found that 7SK RNA binds the CDK9/cyclin T complex (known as elongation factor P-TEFb). P-TEFb activates transcription by phosphorylating the C-terminal domain of RNA polymerase II. Lineage: Eukaryota; Metazoa; Chordata; Mammalia; Rodentia; Muridae. The record is from RNAcentral.
GUGAGAAUGAUCUGGCUGUGACAUCUGUCACACUGUUGGUUGCCAGGGUGACUUGAUAAUCUGGCUGGCUAGGCUGAGGCCCCAUCCUCCCUCACAUGUGUGUCCCUCCCAAAGCCACCCUGCUGGCCGUACCUUCCCCAGCAGAGGAGGGCCAAGGGCAUACAGUAGCUUUCCUCCCCUGAUAAAACCUCCAAAUAAACUCUCACAGCACAAAGUAGUUAAUUCAAUAAAAUCAUUUUGCUUAUAGGACCAGAGACGUGGCUCAGCAGGAAAAGCACUUGCCAAGACCCACCUUG